GAUGAAGAACGUAGCGAAAUGCGAUAAGUAGUGUGAAUUGCAGAAUUCAGUGAAUCAUCGAAUCUUUGAACGCACAUUGCGCCCCUUGGUAUUCCGAGGGGCAUGCCUGUUCGAGCGUCAUUAUAACCCUCAAGCUCAGCUUGGUGUUGGGGCCUGCUGCACUGGCAGCCCUUAAAAUCAGUGGCGGCGCCAUCUGGCUCUAAGCGUAGUAAUUCUUCUCGCUAUGGAGUCCUGGUGGAUGCUUGCCAUCAACCCCCAAUUUUUCUAUGGUUGACCUCGGAUCAGGUAGGGAUACCCGCUGAACUUAAGCAUAUCAAUAAGCGGAGGA
This 328-nucleotide unclassified non-coding RNA is filed under the name soil metagenome. RNAcentral's name for it is "partial contains 5.8S ribosomal RNA, internal transcribed spacer 2, and large subunit ribosomal RNA". The stretch from base 1 to 120 matches the Rfam family "5.8S ribosomal RNA", at positions 35 to 154 of the family's 154-position model. The record is from RNAcentral.